RNA transcript from Helicoverpa zea (corn earworm), 3197 nucleotides. It is a transcript of the gene named protein croquemort-like, with no coding region annotated. Lineage: Eukaryota; Metazoa; Arthropoda; Insecta; Lepidoptera; Noctuidae. The transcript has 12 exons. The record is from RefSeq and is a predicted model, not a curated record.
GAUUGUUAUUCAGGCGAAAACUUUACGCGGAACGUACGUAAAGUUAGUUUAAUAAUGAUUUAUUACGUUUUUAUUUAAUUAAAUCGAAUUAUUUAAACGAAGUACCAAUAUGUUGAGUUAUGGUGCCCGUGUUCUAUAUUGAAGUGCUCCUACCAAAUAAAAAUCACAAAUAUCGUGCAUAGCAAGUGUUUUGUUAAGUUGCAGUGACAAUAUUUGUGUUUUUACCGUAAAUUAUAAGAAACCUAAAAAAAUGGUGACUUCAAAUGUAAGGAGCGGGCUCCUACUAGGCUUUGGGUCCUUCAUGGUGGUGUCCGGAGCAGUCAUGGUGAUCUUCUGGCCACCACUAUUCACCACACAGUUGCAGAAGAUGAUGACGUUAAGCCCAGAUUCAAUGUCAUUCAGUAUAUGGCGGGAAACCCCGAUUCCUAUGUACUUGGAAAUAUUCUUCUUCAAUAUAAGUAAUGUGGAUGAAAUAGUAGCGGGCACGGCUACGAAGGUUCGAGUCGAAGAGAUGGGCCCAUACGUUUUUGAAGAGUCUCAUGUGAAGGUAAACCUGACAUGGAACGACCACAACAGCACAUUAACCUUCUACAACCAGAGGUUCUGGCACUUCAAACCUGAAAUGUCCAAUGGAUCCAUAUCAGAUAACAUCACCAGUAUCAACCCCAUUGUGGCGACAAUAGCCUACAUGAUGAGACACCAGCGUCUGAUCAUCAAAGUCCCAGUGGACGUGUUCCUCCGGCUGUACCAUCGCAACAUGUUCCUCACAGCCAACGUCUCCUCGUGGCUGUUCGACGGCAUCAGCGAUCCAGUGCUGGAUAUCGCCAAUGAAAUACCUAACCUUCCGCUAGCUAUCCCGUAUGAUAAGUUCGGCUGGUUUUAUGAGCGAAACGGCUCUCUAGAAUUCGACGGCUCGUUUAACUUAAACACGGGUGCAUCCGACUUCUCCAGGCUCGGCAAUGUGGAACAGUGGAAGUUCUCCAACAGAACUGACCACUGGGGAGAAUGUGGAGUCGUCAAGGGAUCUACGGGAGAAUUGUGGGCGCCGGAGUAUGGACAACCCGAGCUCUUUGUGUUCGCUAGUGAUGUUUGCUCGUAUAUAACGUUAAGCAAAGAGCGAGAAGUGUACGUGGAAGGCAUACAAGGAGUGCAGUACUCAGCCAAUGACUCCAUAUUCGACAACGGAUAUAAAUACCCGCAGAUGGCGUGCUACUGCGACAUAGUCCGCGACGACAACUGUGUCCCCGCGGGCGCGCUGAACGUGUCGGACUGCCGCUUCGGGGCCCCGGCCUUCGUGUCGCUGCCGCACUUCCUGCACGCGGACCCCGUGUACGCCAGCAAGAUCGACGGCCUCAAUGCUACUGAGGACAUGAACUUCCGCAUGGCGCUGGAGAUGUUCACGGGCAUGCCGCUGUCAGUCGCCGCGCAGCUGCAGAUCAACCUGCUGGUUAGGCAUAUACCCGGGAUCACCAUAAACAACAUGCUCCCAGACCGCGACACGAUGGUACCAAUGUUUAGGUUCCGGCAGGAGACCGCCACCACGCCCGAGUACGCGGCCCUUGCCAGGCAAGCGUUAAGGUUAAGGUACUGGAUACCUUACGCCAUGUAUGCGCUUACUGUAAUCGGCGUGCUUCUACUAAUAUGGGGAAUAACGUUACUCGUUAGGAAAUUAAUCACAUCACCAGAAACCGAACCUAUACUAUCAGACACAGAGGAACAUGGAGGUACAUAACUUACGUUCAUAAAGUAAGUGAAAACAAGUCAUUUUGUAUACAAUUUGUAUAAAAAAUUUUUUUUACUUUUAUACGGACAUGAAUGUGAGAAAAAGACGAUUUUUUAUGUAUAUAAUUCCGAUUAUAUUUAGUAAAAAUAUCGUUGAGUUUUGAAUAGUGGUUGUCAAAUGUGAAUAGAAUUGUUUAUUGAAGACAUUUUUCGUAUUUUUUUAGUAUGGCAAUACUAAACGUUCUUUAAAACCGUUCUUGCCCAGCAAUUUUGUGUAAGUACAUAUAUUUAUAAUGGAAAAUGACCGUUUAUUGGAUGAAAUCAUUAUAAAUAACUUUAUAAAAAAAAAACAUGUCAGUAGAGCAUAUUUUGUUUAUUUUGAAAAUGGCUAACAAUUUAACAUUUGACAAACAUUUUUAUUCGAUGAGUUAUUGAUAUUAAUUUUGAAGUUGACUUUAAUAAAAACGGGCAUAAUUUCUAAAUAUUAUAUUAUUAUUCUAAUGUUACUAUACCAAUGUUUCUUGUAAAUAAAUCCUAAUGCCUUUAUAAUAUUUAGUUCAAAUACCUUGUUGCUAAGACUAACCAAUGACUGUUGACUUUCAUAAUAAUUUUAAUACCUUUAGUUUUAGUAAAACGAGCUUCCCAAGUAGUUUACUGCCAUAAUUAGUUCCAUUCUGUAUACAGGGUGUAUUUUCGCACUUAAACUCUUAUAUGGCCUAAGAAAAAAACGUUUUAACAGAUAAAAUUAGCUAGACAUUUUUAUUUAUUUUGUCUGAUACUAAACCAGUAAUUCAAUAUUGAUAUUUAGGAGUUCUUAGGCGGUUUUUUUUUUUAUAAUAAAUACUGGCAUUCCUAGAGCAUGCUCAAUUUUUGUUUCAUAAGUGCCUUAAAGCUAUAAGCUAGCUAGUAAAUGUAGUUAAAAUAAAAUAAUAAUUCUUUGUUUAAAUGAUUUUUUUGUCUAUGGCAAUACCGUACCUUCUACAUAUAUGUAUUGUUACUGAUAUUUCAUUAUUGACUGUUGCAACAUUUAUUUUAGUAUACCGUUGACUUUUUACUUUAAUGUAUUAAUUGAACAGUUUUUUAAGACUAUUAUAUAGAGCAGUCAUUACCAAUUUUUUAUUCAUUUAUAAGUGUGGAUGAAAACUGUUGGAACAUAAACAGAUGCGAGAGAAACCGUAGGAGACAGCUAGUCAUGUAUACCUGUUGUUUCAAGAGUUACCAUUUAACUAACAAACUAUUUUCUUCCUGACAAAGAUAAUUUUCCAUAUUUGUACCUACUAAAAGUUUUUUGAACAAAUUAUUUUGUUACAGUUUCUUUAAUAAGUUUUUUUGUAUUAUUACAUAGAUACUGUGUACUUAUUGAUUUUAAAAAGAUAUUCAUGUACAUAGAUUAUAAUAUAUUGAUGUAAAUAUUGACGAGUUGAAUCAAUUUAUAAUUGUGUUUGUUGAAAUAUAUUUAAUACUAUUUUUUAUAA